Long non-coding RNA from Choloepus didactylus (southern two-toed sloth), 3012 nucleotides. RefSeq lists it as uncharacterized. The transcript has 3 exons. The record is from RefSeq and is a predicted model, not a curated record. NCBI's taxonomy places the organism in Eukaryota, Metazoa, Chordata, Mammalia, Pilosa, Megalonychidae.
CGCUAUUCGGUCCGUGUCAGCGUGCGCUCCCCGGAGCGAGUCGCUAGGUAACAAGGCCGGCUCCGCAGACCCGGGGCCGGGGAAGCCCGCGCGCGUCGUCAGCAGCGGCGCCGCGGGGCGGGGCGGGGGUCGUAUGGACCCUCCUCCAUCGGGGCCUGAGGACUCCGGGUUCGCAAGCAGUCCCCCUCCCGGGAUACCUUAACCUGCGCUGAUAGCCGCCGCCGAAGUGCCCCUCCUCUGCAGGGACCCCGCCGCCGCCAGCCGUGCGCACUGCUUGGCGCGCGGCCGGGUGGGCGCCCCGCUGCCGCGGUGGCCGUCGCUCCCGGUUCUCCCACCAAGCCCCGGCGCGGGGCAUGAGGAGCCCCCGGGCACCGCCCGGAGACGACCCUACUGCGCGCACACCUCGCCCGCGGCGGACAGGGACAUGAGCAGCUCGCAAGGGGUUGGGUGCCCGGCGGCCAGCCCUAGCCGGCGGCUGCAAGCUGGUCAGCGCUGCCGGAGAGAAUGAGGCAGAAGCCGGCGGCAGCCUCUUCUUUCUCUUCCUCCACCUCGCCUUCCUCCGGCUCCGGCGCCCCGGGCCCCGGCCGGGCUGUGGCUCUGCUGCGUGCCCCGUGCGCCCCCCGCCCGCCUCCGGAUGCGCUGCUCGGUUAGCCUGGGGAGGAAGAUAAAGACAUUUGCAACCAAGAUGGUAAUCACGAGUGGAAAUGAUGAAGACAGAGGAGGCCAAGAAAAAGAAAGUAAAGAGGAGAGCAUCUUGGCGAUGCUGGGGAUUAUCGGGACCAUCCUGAACCUAAUUGUGAUCAUAUUUGUCUACAUAUACACCACUCUGUGAAUGGCCCCGCAUGCCCUUCCAAGACUCCGGAGGGCCAAAGGAUGAGAGUCCCGUGUGUCAGUACAUCAGUGAUCGGACACUGGGCCGGCAAGCUGACGUGACCUCCACGCUCCAUCAGCGGCACCCCCGGACUUUCAAGACAGGUCACAAAACUAAACCGGUCCCUCUGUGGGGCACGGACCCCAAAGCACAAUGAAUCCAGCGACACCCGCUCACACCACAAGGAACUCAACAUCGUGGGCCGGGGGCCAGGAAGGACUCUCGAGGACCAGCUUUUGACGCCGUGGGUGGGCGGAUGGCUGCGAAGUCCGUGAUCCCAGAUGGCUGACGGAAGUCACCUCUUCAACAAGAUGAGCAGGGGGGGCGCGGCUCAGCCGUGUGUCUCCUAGGUCAGGCAUUUCAUCUUCACUUCACGGACCUGUUGCUUACAUGAAAACCACAGGGGCAGUCAUCUGACAGGCAUCCCAUUCAUCAAAAGUUGAUUUGAUGCUGGAGAGAUAACUUAUUUUUCCUUUUUUUUCCCAUUGGCUUGACGUGUGUAUCUGUUCAUAUCAAGGUUUAUAAAUAUAUAUUUUUAACAAAUGUGCUCUAUUUUUUGGCAUGAACCAAAUAUUUGGAGAGGCGCUCCAAGACCCAUAGCGCUUUCCUUGGUUUUAUCCGCUAUGCUCCCUCAACGGCAGCCGUUCCCUUGUGUAGCCAUUCUGCUCCCACUUGUCUCAUGUUGAAUCUUUUACCUUCUCUCUCUCUUUGGUCUGAAGGACGUUGUCACAUAAUACCGGCCACUGCCUUGGUUGGUGCAUUACUUAAGAUUGUCCGUUGGGCGGCUUUUUGUUGGUAUAUCAGUGGCUUAAAAUGGUCGUGGGCAUGCAGACCUCGAGGCACCAUAUCUACUGAGAAUUAUGCAUGUAUAAGGGCUGAAUGAUAUAGAUCAGCUUAAAAAAUAAUAAAGAAAGGAUGACUGUUGAGAAAGAAGAGCAUGGUUGUAUUUGCAGAUCAACUAAAGGACGGAAUAUUCAGCUUCUUACUGGCAGCAUUAUUGUUUCAUUCUUGUGACCAUUCGUUUAUCAGAUUUUGAGUUUCGUGGCCAUGUACACCGUGAGAGGUAGGAGGGACAAGGGCAGAAAGUCAGCAUUAGGUGCCGUUACUUUCUUAGCGAGCUGCUUCUGGUCCUUUUGAAAGUAGGUGGGGUGUAAAUGACUUAUAAAUUCCCCACUGUGAGCUCACCCUGGGUGGUUCAGCUCCGUCAGGCUAUGGGGAUACCCCCCUCUCAUGACAGGUGACUUUUCAAAGGCAUUGGAACAGGGCUUAGGAUAGCCCUAGAGGAUUGUUGUGUUCUUAAGUUCCAGGUUUACACCCACAUGAAGCUACUCCCUCUCUGGCAGGGAUGGUUAAAUAAAUACAAAUUUGCCUUGUUCUCUUGGCCCACUGAGACAGACCCUUGUGUGGCUACAGUGGCAUGGCCUUAAAGAGAGGGUCCGUAUUCCUUCCGCCAGCACCACCUACCCAUGGGUGGAAAGAGGCAGUGGCCUGCCUGAUUGGAUACAAAUUGCUGCCAAGGAGGUCUCUGCUGCCAGAUCUCUCCUGCCACACCCCCACUAUGAUGUCUGAAAUUCCACCAUUAGAGAGUCACUUCCAGAACUCUUCUAAGGGACCAGGCUCUUUAAUAAAACAAAUGCCCCUGAGCACAUAGCUCUGACGCUGAUUCAUCAGGCAUCUUCUCUUCCCCACCAGAAGGAAAGACACUAAUGUGGAAUGAGGGCACGUUGUGUGCCCAGGACUGGGCCAGGCUCUUGACACAGCUUGAGUUCUUGAAUCCUCAGAGUGACCCUGUGAGCUAAGGAGUGCUUCCUCCACCACAGGGAAGAAGAAACGAGGGCUGAGAGAGAUCAGGGAUCUUCCCAAGAUCAUGUGGCUGCUGAUGGUGGAGUCAGGACUCAAACCCUGAUCUGUCUGAUUCCUUCACCCAGAGAGGGUCAGAGGCUGCUGGGGCAGAGACUAAGUGGAGGGGGGGGGGGUUGCAGGAAAGGGUCACUCGGGUUGGGACACAAGCCUGCCCAUUUGCUGAGGGUCAGCUCUGUAUAACUGCCCACAAUAAAAAAAAAAAAAAUCCUGGGAACACCUUGGACGCUGGCAGAAUAUCAUACAGGAAGUACAAGGGACAAGAGGAGGCUAGUAUGAAA